GACGAACGCUGGCGGCGUGCUUAACACAUGCAAGUCGAGCGGUAAGGCCCUUUCGGGGGUACGACGAGCGGCGAACGGGUGAGUAACACGUGGGUGACCUGCCCUCAGCUCUGGGAUAAGCCUGGGAAACCGGGUCUAAUACCGGAUAUGACUCCAUGACGCAUGUUGUGGGGUGGAAAGCCUUGUGCGGCUGAGGAUGGGCCCGCGGCCUAUCAGCUUGUUGGUGGGGUGAUGGCCUACCAAGGCGACGACGGGUAGCCGGCCUGAGAGGGCGACCGGCCGCACUGGGACUGAGACACGGCCCAGACUCCUACGGGAGGCAGCAGUGGGGAAUCUUGCGCAAUGGGCGAAAGCCUGACGCAGCGACGCCGCGUGAGGGAUGACGGCCU
This 389-nucleotide ribosomal RNA is filed under the name uncultured bacterium. RNAcentral's name for it is "bacterial SSU rRNA". It matches the Rfam family "Bacterial small subunit ribosomal RNA", at positions 28 to 417 of the family's 1533-position model. The record is from RNAcentral.